RNAcentral lists this ribosomal RNA (464 nucleotides) under uncultured bacterium. Its description in RNAcentral is "partial 16S ribosomal RNA". It matches the Rfam family "Bacterial small subunit ribosomal RNA", at positions 29 to 507 of the family's 1533-position model. The record is from RNAcentral.
ACGAACGCUGGCGGCGUGCUUAACACCUGCAAGUCGCACGGUAAGGCUCCAGCUUGCUGGGGUACACGAGUGGCGAACGGGUGAGUAACACGUGGGUGACCUGCCCUGCACUUCGGGAUAAGCCUGGGAAACUGGGUCUAAUACCGGAUAGGACCGCACCGUGAGGGUGUGGUGGAAAGUUUUUUCGGUGUGGGAUGGGCCCGCGGCCUAUCAGCUUGUUGGUGGGGUAAUGGCCUACCAAGGCGGCGACGGGUAGCCGGCCUGAGAGGGUGGACGGCCACAUUGGGACUGAGACACGGCCCAGACUCCUACGGGAGGCAGCAGUGGGGAAUAUUGCACAAUGGGCGGAAGCCUGAUGCAGCGACGCCGCGUGGGGGAUGACGGCCUUCGGGUUGUAAACUCCUUUCACCAUCGACGAAGGGUUUCUGACGGUAGAUGGAGAAGAAGCACCGGCUAACUACGUG